GGGCGGAGACCUGGCACCGCGGAAACCGGUUCAGGCCCGGAAGGGAGCAGACUUACCGUGGACGUUUGGCGCCCAUGG
Molecule: non-coding RNA, 78 nt
Filed under: Methanofollis liminatans DSM 4140
Lineage: Archaea; Methanobacteriati; Methanobacteriota; Methanomicrobia; Methanomicrobiales; Methanomicrobiaceae
Source: RNAcentral